CGCAUGGUAGAGGAGCGUUCUGUAAGCUGUUGAAGGUAGAUUGAGAAGUCUGCUGGAGGUAUCAGAAGCGCGAAUGCUGACAUGAGUAACGAUAAAGGGGGUGAAAAACCCCCUCGCCGAAAGACCAAGGUUUCCUAUCCCAUGUUAAUCAGGGUAGGGUUAGUCGGCCCCUAAGGCAAGGCAGAAAUGCGUAGUCGAUGGGAAAAAGGUUAAUAUUCCUUUACUUCUUAUUAUUGCGAUGGAGGGACGGAGUAGGCUAGAUCAGACGGGUGUUGGUUGUCCCGAUCUAAGCGUGUAGGGGGUUUUCUUAGGUAAAUCCGGGAGAACAUUACUCUGAGACGUGAUGGCGAGGCUCUCUUUUGAGCCGAGUGGUCGAUGCCAUGCUUCCAAGAAAAGCUUCUAAGCUUCAGAUAAUAAGAAACCGUACUCCAAACCGACACAGGUGGUCAGGUAGAGAAUACCAAGGCGCUUGAGACAACUCUGGUGAAGGAACUAGGCAAAAUGGCACCGUAACUUCGGGAGAAGGUGCGCUGUCAGUGGUGAUCGGACUCGCUCCGUAAGCUACUGACAGCCGAAGUGACCAGGCCGCUGCGACUGUUUAUUAAAAACACAGCACUUUGCAAACACGUAAGUGGACGUAUAAGGUGUGACGCCUGCCCGGUGCCGGAAGGUUAAUUGAUGGGGUUAGUCUUUGGACGAAGCUCUUGAUCGAAGCCCCGGUAAACGGCGGCCGUAACUAUAACGGUCCUAAGGUAGCGAAAUUCCUUGUCGGGUAAGUUCCGACCUGCACGAAUGGCGUAACGAUGGCGGCGCUGUCUCCACCAGAGACUCAGUGAAAUUGAAUUUGCGGUCAAGAUGCCGUAUACCCGCACCUAGACGGAAAGACCCCGUGAACCUUUACUAUAGCUUGGCACUGAACUUUGAACCUGUCUGUGUAGGAUAGGUGGGAGGCUUUGAAGCGUGAUCGCUAGAUUGCGUCGAGCCAUCCUUGAAAUACCACCCUGGUAUGUUUGAGGUUCUAACCUAGGUCCGUUAUCCGGAUCGGGGACAGUGUCUGGUGGGUAGUUUGACUGGGGCGGUCUCCUCCCAAAGAGUAACGGAGGAGCACGAAGGUACCCUCAGCAUGGUCGGAAAUCAUGCUAUGAGUGCAAUGGCAUAAGGGUGCUUGACUGCGAGACUGACAAGUCGAGCAGGUACGAAAGUAGGUCAUAGUGAUCCGGUGGUUCUGUAUGGAAGGGCCAUCGCUCAACGGAUAAAAGGUACUCCGGGGAUAACAGGCUGAUACCGCCCAAGAGUUCACAUCGACGGCGGUGUUUGGCACCUCGAUGUCGGCUCAUCACAUCCUGGGGCUGAAGCCGGUCCCAAGGGUAUGGCUGUUCGCCAUUUAAAGUGGUACGCGAGCUGGGUUUAGAACGUCGUGAGACAGUUCGGUCCCUAUCUGGUGUGGGCGUUGGAGAUUUGAGGAGAGCUGCUUCUAGUACGAGAGGACCGAAGUGGACAGACCUCUGGUGUUCGGGUUGUCAUGCCAAUGGCAUUGCCCGGUAGCUAUGUUUGGACAGGAUAACCGCUGAAAGCAUCUAAGCGGGAAGCCCCCUCCAAGAUUAGAUCUCCCUGGGACUUUAAGUCCCCUUAAGGGUCGUUCAAGACUAGGACGUUGAUAGGCUGGAUGUGUAAGCGCUGUGAGGCGUUGAGCUAACCAGUACUAAUG
Molecule: ribosomal RNA, 1708 nt
Filed under: marine metagenome
Description: bacterial LSU rRNA
Rfam family: Bacterial large subunit ribosomal RNA
Source: RNAcentral